This 253-nucleotide ribosomal RNA is filed under the name uncultured bacterium. RNAcentral describes it as "partial 16S ribosomal RNA". It matches the Rfam family "Bacterial small subunit ribosomal RNA", at positions 524 to 776 of the family's 1533-position model. The record is from RNAcentral.
UACGGAGGAUGCAAGCGUUAUCCGGAUUCAUUGGGUUUAAAGGGUGCGCAGGUGGGAAAAUAAGUCAGUGGUGAAAUACUGCCGCUUAACGGUAGAAUUGCCAUUGAUACUGUUUUUCUUGAGUAUGGUUGAGGUAGGUGGAAUGUGUUGUGUAGCGGUGAAAUGCAUAGAUAUGACACAGAACGCCGAUUGCGAAGGCAACUUACUAAGCCAUUACUGACGCUGAGGCACGAAAGCGUGGGGAUCAAACAGG